This 421-nucleotide ribosomal RNA is filed under the name uncultured bacterium. RNAcentral's name for it is "bacterial SSU rRNA". It matches the Rfam family "Bacterial small subunit ribosomal RNA", at positions 362 to 776 of the family's 1533-position model. The record is from RNAcentral.
UCAUUCACAAUGGGCGAAAGCCUGAUGGUGCGACGCCGCGUGAGGGAUGAAGGUCUUCGGAUUGUAAACCUCUGUCACUAGGGAAGAAAAACCAGCCGUUAAUAGCGUCUGGUCUGACUUAACCUGGAGAGGAAGCAGUGGCUAACUCUGUGCCAGCAGCCGCGGUAAUACAGAGACUGCAAGCGUUAUUCGGAUUCACUGGGCGUAAAGGGUGCGCAGGCGGCCGUGUGUGUUAGGUGUGAAAGCCCGAGGCUCAACCUCGGAAUUGCGCCUAAAACUACACGGCUAGAGUAUUGGAGAGGGUAGCGGAAUUCACGGUGUAGCAGUGAAAUGCGUAGAUAUCGUGAGGAACACCAGAGGCGAAGGCGGCUACCUGGACAAUUACUGACGCUCAGGCACGAAAGCGUGGGGAGCAAAAGGG